UCAAUUAAACUGACAUACUUUGUCUGGAGGACUCAAUUAGAAACUCUCAGCCACUUUUGACUUGUGUUACCAUGGUCAUAAAUGGGGAGGUAAUAUGUACAAUUCUGUGCCUCUAGUUCCAGUGUUGUUACUAAAAUGGGUCUUUUCUAAAUGUUAUUCAGUGUCUAAGGAGAUGGACAGAUUAAGAUUUAACUCACAUUAGCCAUGGAUGCUAUUCAGCAUGGAUAUUCUGUGCAUAAUAUAUAAGUAGUGAGGCCAGUAUUUGGUGACAAAGCCAAACUUUGCAGCACCAACAACUGAAAACAAUGUGGAAACAGAAGUGGAAAGCAACUAGAGGUUAGAAACAGCAUUUUCUGGUGUAGCUCUACAUAAGGACUCCAGAAGCACCCUAGCUCUGGAUCUUCAGCUCUCUGAACUGUCCUGAUUUCAGUGGGAUAGUGUUCAUUUUCUUCACAGUGGCUGGUAUGAUGCUGUGCUUUGGAUUUAGGAGAAAAUAAGAGUGUUGAUAACACUCCAAUGUUUUAAUUGUCAUUAUCUGUACUUACACUACGUCAAGGACUUCUCAGCUUCUCACACUGCCCUGCCAGCAAGGAGGCUGGGGGUGCACUGGGAGCUGUGGGGGGGACAGAAUUAAGUCAGCUGACCCCAACUGGCCAAGCAGAUGUCCCAUGCAAUAUGGUGUCAUGUUGAAUGAUAAAACCGGGGAGGGUUGGUGUGGUGGCUCCUGCUGCUUGGGGAUUCAGGCUCACGUUCAUUUUGGAGGAUUUGGAAGAGACCAGAGUGUGGGCUGAGAGAAGUUUGAGAGUUUGAUUAAUUCUGUCUGAGCGGGACAGCCUUGAGAAGCCAUUUUGCAUGUGGUUGUGCAGCCCAGGUGCUAAACAAUGUCUGUGCUGCUUUGGUCCCACCAGGCCUGGUUGGACACCAAAUUGCCCUCCACAGUCUGCCAGUGCAGAGCAGCUGCUCAGAAGGACUGCACAUAGAAUUUCACCAAGUCCAUAAUCCCUUUCUUUAAUGAGCAUUUAAGUGAAACAUGCUGUGCCUGUGGUGUGGACUGAGCAUCUUCCAUCAUCUUCGGUUGUAUAAAUGGAAAACUGGAUUUCCGAGAAAAGAAACGCUUGGAGUCUGAUCUCAAUGGGAAGACAAUCACAACUAAAAUGAAGAAUUUGCUAAAAAAAAUGUAUGGCUAAAAAAUAAAAAUAAGGCACCCUAUGAGAUGGAAAAUAAAUUAUUCCUAAAUGGUACAAGGGAGCUGCAAUGCAGUGUUCUGUAGCUCUCUCUAUACACCUGAGUGCAUCAAGUGGUGCAAGAGUGGGUGUGUGAAAGGACGUCAGCUUUGGGUAAAAGCUCAUUCUGGUCCAGAGGUGAACUGAGAGCACCACUUAUACAUAAAAUAAAUGACAGAUAUCCCCUCAGCGCUCUCCAAAUGCCAAUGAUCAGAAAUUGCAGGCUUUGAAGCAGGCAGUGCUGAAGGGGGACAAAGAAAAUACUGGUGGUGGGGAAAGGGGGCACAAAUACAGCAACUGAUGCAAAGGACACAGAAAAGUUUUUCCCUAAAUCAGGAACAAUGAAGCACUGAUACAGGAGCGUUAUUUGAAAGGAGAUAGUAAUUAUGUAGAACAAAACAUUCAAUGAGUACUAUCAUUUUCCAUUUAGGAAAGAGCAAGAUAAUGGGCUACUACCAUGUGAGGAUGAUAAAUGACUACGAUCUAUUAAGGACUAAGUACGUUGCUGGAAAACAGCUAUUAGAAAUAAAUAUUUUGAAGAGCUGGCAGAUGAAAGUUUUCAUUUGUUGAUGCUUAUUUGUUUUGUCUUGAAACGUUAUCUUAAUUUCAAUAGUGCCAAAGAACAUUAAUUAGAUGAUAUUUGUAAAAGAUUUUCAGACAGCUUGGACAGCGGCUAAUCUGAAUUUUUUAGCAUGGAAAACCUGAUGUGGGAUUCAAUUACAAAAUCAUGCAGGUCUGUUAGUCUGUUUUAAUAUGAUAAAAUUUAAAUUUUCCAGCUAUAAGCAAAAGCAUACAGCAAAAACAAAGCAGGGAGUGUCCUGAGAGCAACGUCUUUGAAAAAGACUUAGGGGUUGUGUGGUUGAAAACAACUCAGUAUAGCAGGGCUGUAGAGCAAAGGGAACUAGCAUGAACUCACAUUACAUAAAUAUAAGGAAGAACAGUGAGAAGAUAGGAAAGAGGGCUGGAAAUCUACAUAUAGCACUGAUCAUGCCGCUCCUGCAAGCCCUUUCCAGGUCUGGUCACUUUAUGGGGUGCAGAAAAGAGUCCAAGAAAGGUUUUGGAGACUGUGAUAAGGCCUUAUAGUGAGAAACUUUAAACUGCUCACCCUGACCGGUUAUUCUGUACAAAGACAGACUUGAUGAUUUUGUAGAAUUGUCUUCAUGGGAUAUUCAAGUGCUCUCCCAAAGCAACAAAAUCAUUGAAUGGAGGAAGAGAAACAAAUUUGUACCAGUGAGGGUGAUCAUCUAGAAGAACAAACCUCCAAGGCAGAUAAUGCAUUCCUAUCUUCUGAUGUAUUCUGAAUGUCACAUUUGAAAGAGGGGUAGCUAACGUCAAUCUGGAAACAACCUUCCUUGCUUCUCUAGAUAUGGCAAUUGAAUAGUCCACCUUCUUAAAAAUGUGGUUGGCUCCUGUGGAGCAAAGGACUGGAUACUGCAGAAGAAGAGAUGAUAAUGUGGUUAUCAUACAGGGAGAGAGCAGGAACUGGAGCGAGGUUAGAAGAGGGAAUCCUGCUGAUAUAAAUAACCAGCUAAAUCCAUGAUGUUCAACAUCCAGUAGAGGUUCACCAGUCUAAAAUAUUUUAUAGCUUUUUUUUGAGAGCCAGGAUGGAAGGGCUAAAGCAGUUGUUAGAUGAGAAAAGUUGUUCUCUUGGCAAGAUGUCUCCCAAUUGCGAGUGUGAGUGUACCCUAGUGAGCAGCAGUCAUAGAAUCAUAGAAUCAUAGAAUGGCUUGGGUUGGAAGGGACCUCAAGGAUCAUCAAGCUCCAAUCCCCCUGCAACAAGCAGGGCCGCCAACCUCCACAUUUAAUACUAGAUCAAGCUGCACAAGACCCCAUAUAAUCUGGCCUUGAACACCUCCAGGGACAGGGCAUCCACAACCUC
Numida meleagris (helmeted guineafowl) is the source of this 3102-nucleotide long non-coding RNA. RefSeq lists it as uncharacterized. The transcript is spliced from 3 exons. The record is from RefSeq and is a predicted model, not a curated record. Lineage: Eukaryota; Metazoa; Chordata; Aves; Galliformes; Numididae.